UGGACUAUUUCUCUCUCUUUCUUUUAUUGAAUAUCACUUGUUGCUCCCUCUCUCUGUCUUGGUUCUCGGGUUCUUGCCCAUUCUUUUCUUUACAUUAUGCUUCUGGCUUCCUCCAUAGUGUUCCCUGCUUUUUACACUUUUCUCAGACUUCAGGGAAGUUUGAAUCCAGACCUGAACUUCACAGGAAACCCACCAUCCAAUAGCAAAUCUAGCUGGCACCAGAGCUUUCUUUGUGAAACCAGAACGGGCAGGUUUUGGUCAGUGGCGUGGGAUUCACUGGGCUGGAGCAGAGGUAGAAGAGAACCCACAUGCAUUACCUUCACUGAACAUUUCUGGGAAACAUACAGUCUCAAGAGUUUCUCUGUACUGUCAGCAAGAGAAGGCAAUGAAGCUGGCUGAGACAACGGAUCCAAAAUAUGUGAGGUGCUGACAUCUAGUUUUGCUGAAGGUUCAGAAUGGCAUGUACAAAGGUGUUAUGUUGGUGACAGCUACACAUCAAAGACUUUCCUUGACAGAGCAAGAAGCUUGUGUCGAAUUACUUUAUUCUGGCUUCCAGGAUCACAUAUUAUGUAUUAUGAGAAAUAAGGCCAUGGUGCGUGUUCCCCUAAUGAUGUACUUCAAGAACAAAAUGCUGGUGGAUUGUUACCUACUGAUGACAAUUACACAUGCAAAAAGCCAUCAUUCAACAAAAAGGGGGGCCCAAAUAAAAUCCUGGGUCUCAAUGCCCUGGAGUUUGUGGAAGUUCCUCAUCAGAGUCAUGAAGUUGCUAUUAAAUUGCUCCUUAAAACCUA
This is a long non-coding RNA of Alligator mississippiensis (American alligator), 791 nucleotides long. RefSeq lists it as uncharacterized. The record is from RefSeq and is a predicted model, not a curated record. NCBI's taxonomy places the organism in Eukaryota, Metazoa, Chordata, Crocodylia, Alligatoridae. The transcript is spliced from 2 exons.